AUAAUGGAGAGUUUGAUCCUGGCUCAGAACGAACGCUGGCGGCGCGUCUUAAGCAUGCAAGUCGGACGGCAGGGUGCCUUCGGGCAUCCGAGAGUGGCGAACGGGUGAGUAACACGUAAGUGAUCUGCCCCGCAGUUGGGGAUAGCCUGUGGAAACACAGGGUAAUACCGGAUGAGAUGUCA
Molecule: ribosomal RNA, 182 nt
Filed under: Spirochaetia bacterium
Lineage: Bacteria; Pseudomonadati; Spirochaetota; Spirochaetia
Description: partial 16S ribosomal RNA
Rfam family: Bacterial small subunit ribosomal RNA
Source: RNAcentral